This 385-nucleotide ribosomal RNA is filed under the name Pseudomonas sp. SK256-N5. RNAcentral describes it as "bacterial SSU rRNA". It matches the Rfam family "Bacterial small subunit ribosomal RNA", at positions 35 to 424 of the family's 1533-position model. Lineage: Bacteria; Pseudomonadati; Pseudomonadota; Gammaproteobacteria; Pseudomonadales; Pseudomonadaceae. The record is from RNAcentral.
GCUGGCGGCAGGCCUGUCAUGCAGGUCGAGCGGUAGAGAGAAGCUUGCUUCUCUUGAGAGCGGCGGACGGGUGAGUAAUGCCUAGGAAUCUGCCUGGUAGUGGGGGAUAACGUUCGGAAACGGACGCUAAUACCGCAUACGUCCUACGGGAGAAAGCAGGGGACCUUCGGGCCUUGCGCUAUCAGAUGAGCCUAGGUCGGAUUAGCUAGUUGGUGAGGUAAUGGCUCACCAAGGCUACUAUCCUUAACUGGUCUGAGAGGAUGAUCAGUCACACUGGAACUGAGACACGGUCCAGACUCCUACGGGAGGCAGCAGUGGGGAAUAUUGGACAAUGGGCGAAAGCCUGAUCCAGCCAUGCCGCGUGUGUGAAGAAGGUCUUCGGAUU